RNAcentral lists this long non-coding RNA (689 nucleotides) under Nicotiana benthamiana. RNAcentral describes it as "long non-coding RNA (NBEN_LNC005044)". Lineage: Eukaryota; Viridiplantae; Streptophyta; Magnoliopsida; Solanales; Solanaceae. The record is from RNAcentral.
GAACUUAGGAUGAUGGCGAAGGUGUUCGAUCAUCCACAUCUGAAGAAGAAUGCUCCAGCCUUCGAAAAACUAACCCCCAGAUUUGCAAAAAAGUUAAUGCCUGGUAAAUGUCUGAUAGCACUAAUGGGACAAGAGUGUGAUCUUUUUUGUCGAUGAGAACCUAUGUGAUCCUAUCCAUACGAAUAUCUAUUGUACCUUUGGAAUUCGGAAACACUAUGAUUCCCAAAAAUGCUACAAUGAAAGCAAAUCAUAUCUCCCAUGUGAUUUUGUUCUGUUUGUUACUCAAACCCUUCUCAUGUGUUUCAAAUCCAGUUGAGUGUCCAAACUUGUAAUACAAGAAGCAGAACUUACAACACUCGUUACUUGCGCAGUCGUUGCUUAUUUAAUUGCUAAUUUUCAAAAGAUCGAAGAAUUUGUGUACUAAGGGAGCGCUGGGAAAUAUGAGUUGCUGCUUUCUUAACUCUUGGCCGAAAUAUGUACCCAGCUAUUUUUUCUAGGGUGGACGUGAAUUCGAAAUCCCAGAAACGGAACACAUUGUUAACGGGAUCCCAAAAGGUCAAUCAAAGCCUUAAUCAAAUCCUCCCGUGGCUUGAUGUGCAUGAUGUCUAACAGGGGACUCAACUGCUCUUUUACCUAAACUUGGCCAUCUUCAUGUAGAUCAACCCACCAACUACGUAGCUGCAUCUGAG